UGGGGAAUCUUGCGCAAUGGGCGAAAGCCUGACGCAGCGACGCCGCGUGAGGGAUGACGGCCUUCGGGUUGUAAACCUCUUUCAGCUCCGACGAAGCGGAAGUGACGGUAGGAGCAGAAGAAGCACCGGCCAACUACGUGCCAGCAGCCGCGGUAAUACGUAGGGUGCAAGCGUUGUCCGGAAUUAUUGGGCGUAAAGAGCUCGUAGGCGGUCUGUCGCGUCGGCUGUGAAAACUCGGGGCUCAACUCCGAGCUUGCAGUCGAUACGGGCAGGCUAGAGUUCGGCAGGGGAGACUGGAAUUCCUGGUGUAGCGGUGAAAUGCGCAGAUAUCAGGAGGAACACCGGUGGCGAAGGCGGGUCUCUGGGCCGAUACUGACGCUGAGGAGCGAAAGCGUGGGGAGCAAACAGGAUUAGAUACCCUGGUAGUCCACGCCGUAAACGUUGGGCGCUAGGUGUGGGAUCCCUUCCACGGGUUCCGUGCCGCAGCUAACGCAUUAA
RNAcentral lists this ribosomal RNA (498 nucleotides) under uncultured bacterium. RNAcentral's name for it is "bacterial SSU rRNA". It matches the Rfam family "Bacterial small subunit ribosomal RNA", at positions 355 to 863 of the family's 1533-position model. The record is from RNAcentral.